RNAcentral lists this ribosomal RNA (497 nucleotides) under uncultured bacterium. RNAcentral describes it as "partial 16S ribosomal RNA". It matches the Rfam family "Bacterial small subunit ribosomal RNA", at positions 28 to 507 of the family's 1533-position model. The record is from RNAcentral.
GAUGAACGCUGGCGGCGUGCCUAAUACAUGCAAGUCGAGCGAACAGACGAGGAGCUUGCUCCUCUGACGUUAGCGGCGGACGGGUGAGUAACACGUGGAUAACCUACCUAUAAGACUGGGAUAACUUCGGGAAACCGGAGCUAAUACAGGAUAAUAUAUUGAACCGCAUGGUUCAAUAGUGAAAGACGGUUUUGCUGUAACUUAUAGAUGGAUCCGCGCCGCAUUAGCUAGUUGGUAAGGUAACGGAUUACCAAGGCAACGAUGCGUAGCCGACCUGAGAGGGUGAUCGGCCACACUGGAACUGAGACACGGUCCAGACUCCUACGGGAGGCAGCAGUAGGGAAUCUUCCGCAAUGGGCGAAAGCCUGACGGAGCAACGCCGCGUGAGUGAUGAAGGUCUUCGGAUCGUAAAACUCUGUUAUUAGGGAAGAACAAAUGUGUAAGUAACUAUGCACGUCUUGACGGUACCUAAUCAGAAAGCCACGGCUAACUACGUG